Molecule: long non-coding RNA, 481 nt
Filed under: Manacus vitellinus (golden-collared manakin)
Lineage: Eukaryota; Metazoa; Chordata; Aves; Passeriformes; Pipridae
Description: lncRNA (ENSMVIG00005013989.1)
Source: RNAcentral
CUUGGGUCAUAUUGCAAGCCAGGGACUCCCAAAAUUCUCAUUUCUCCCUUGUGCCAGAGCCUGUGCUAGAAGAGGAGUGACGGAUUUUCCAAAUAUCUUCCCAUCUCCAUGAGCAAUCUCCUGAUUCACUGGGAUCAGGGCUGCUGUGUAACUACUCUGCAAACCUGACCUGAGCAGGCAAACCUCAGGUGACAUCGGGGACCCAGGGCUGGACUGACACGGCGAGAAACCAGCAAUGAAGGUUUAUGAAACCCUUCAGCAUUUCCCAGUGAAAGGGACUGAACGGCUCCCCCAUCCCUUCAACAAAUCGGCACAUUUGAGCAGGGAAACCGCUGGAAACGUGCACGUUUCAGGAAACAAAAAGAACAACGUUCCCCAGGGACGGACACCCCGGCUGUGGGCUGUGCCCACCCCGUGUGCUGCAGGGACCGUGAUGGGAUUUAAGCAAUCACAGGCAGACCCGGUGUCCUGGGAGAGAUAA